GGAUGUGAGGGCUUCUGGCUGUGACAUCUGUCACCCAACUGAUCACCAGGAUUGAUUCGGUCGGUGGUCUGGCCAGGCCGCGUCCCCUCCCUCCAUCCCUCCCCUCACUGCUCUGUGUGCCGCCCUCCUGGCCCUCAUGGCCCUCUCGAAGCUGAGUGCUAGGUCCCCCCAUAGAGGAGGGCAGUGGAGGUUUCCUUGGUCAAGGGGAUCCGAGAAGCUGCACCCUCUGCCAGAACCUCCAAAUGAACUCUCAAGAAUAUAGCAGGUUUUUUUGUUGUUGAUGUUUUAAUCAGAUUAAGGAAGCUCCCUUCUAUUCAUCAUUUUCUAAGGUACUUUUUCAUGAAUGGGUGAUUCAUUUU
Molecule: non-coding RNA, 359 nt
Organism: Fukomys damarensis (Damara mole-rat)
Lineage: Eukaryota; Metazoa; Chordata; Mammalia; Rodentia; Bathyergidae
Source: Rfam